GAAGACAAAAUGAAAAACAUCACUUUAGCAUUUCCCAAUACAGUAAUUAUUACGGGAGUUUAUUUCUGUGAGACAAGAGACGUUGUUGCUGCCAUGGAACCAAACAGGACUGUCCUGCCUGUUACUGGGAUGUGAGACUUCAGUCAUGUGACCUUUAUGUGUUACAAUGGGUGCUACCACCUCGGGCACAGACGGGGGAGCACCCUGGCGACCCAGGCAAUCCCGGCAUGAGGAAACCAAUCCUGAAGGGCCCAUCACUGCUGGGGUCUGAAGUGCCUACCCUACCUGCCAGCUGACUGUGCUCCCAGCUUUCCUGGUUCCCUAGAAUAAACCUGAGAUUCUACUGUGAAAGUCACAAACAACCACAAGGUGGUGCUAGAGGGCUACCUACUGUCAGAGAAAUGCUUCACUACCUCUAACUACCACAAGGCGGGGACAGAGUACAGCCAAGUGCCAAAUAAUUAAUUCACUACUACUUCUGUUCUACCUACUGUCAGAGAAAUGCUUCACUACCUCUAACUACCACAAGGUGGGGACAGAGUACAGCCAAGUGCCAAAUAAUUAAUUCACUACUACUUCUGUUCUACCUACUGUCAGAGAAAUGCCUCACUACCUCUGACUGCCCAAGGUGGUGUUAGAGUAUUACCUUUUAAUCUACUAUAAAUAAAUGUAAAGCAACUGGAAUUGUUAAGUAAUCAUUGAAGACUUUCACUACUGAUCCGAGCAGCUUCUUCAGUUCAACUGACUGGUAUGGGAAAUCCUCAGCAUAUGAACUCUUCCUUAGGAGACUGUUGGGAGUAUAGCCAGACUGUGCAUCACCAGGUGGCGCUGUACCUAUUUCAUUAUAUCUGCAGUUUCCAAACAGAACUCUGCGCAAUUUUUCUUUCAUGGGCAGCAGGGUAUAAUAUGCCUGUAUGAGUGCCAGGUAAUAUACACAGUGACUGCAUUUAUAUGUAGGAUCCCAUUUUGUUGUAUGGGUUAAUAAGGCAUUGAAGAUUCCUACUGGUUCUUCCUCCCUAGGCCGUAUUCCUUUUCUCAUUAAUCAUAUAUAUUCCCCCAAAAUACAAUAAACAUCAGUGAUUCUUAUUUAAUCAAUGCGUGGGGACCCAAGAUUGGCCAUGCCAACAAGUGGGGUGCAAAUGGGAAAAAAAAAUUGACCCGCACACUCAUGGCCACACCCACGACCCAAUUAGCCAUUCCCUAAUAUACUGAAACCCUGCCCACUAUCUACCCAAAAUCCACCCACUCCCUUCUCCAAGGCCACCCACUAGCAACACAAUGGGAGAUGGGAAUGGGAGAUGUAGCCCCUCAAUGCUUUCUGUGGCAGUGGUGGCCGAGGGGGAGGUGAUAGGCUGCAGUGCUGCCGGGGGGAGGUUUGGCUGUGGAUGUUAAUGGGCCCUUGGGUGCUGGAUUUUCCAGUGGGCCCCAGGUACCCCAGUCUGAUGCUGGAAGCAAUGGCACCCAAAAUAGUUGCAUACGGCAGUGAGAAGGGCAGAACUGGGCUAAUAAUAAUGAUGAAGCCAGUUUGGGCCAAACUAUCACCUGGAUCACAGAACAUUCUACAUUUAUAUAUUUAAUAAUGAUCAAAUCACAA
Molecule: long non-coding RNA, 1594 nt
Organism: Xenopus tropicalis (tropical clawed frog)
Lineage: Eukaryota; Metazoa; Chordata; Amphibia; Anura; Pipidae
Exons: 3
Source: RefSeq, a predicted model, not a curated record